GACGAACGCUGGCGGCGUGCCUAACACAUGCAAGUCGAACGGAGAUUUUAUUUAUGAAAUCUUAGUGGCGAACGGGUGAGUAACGCGUAGACAACCUGCCUUUUAGAUGGGGACAACACCGCGAAAGUGGUGCUAAUACCGAAUGUUGUAUUUUGGUCGCAUGAUUGAGAUACUAAAGAUGGCCUCUAUUUAUAAGCUAUCACUAAAAGAUGGGUCUGCGUCUGAUUAGCUAGUUGGUGAGGUAAUGGCUCACCAAGGCGACGAUCAGUAGCCGGUCUGAGAGGAUGAACGGCCACACUGGGACUGAGACACGGCCCAGACUCCUACGGGAGGCAGCAGUGGGGAAUCUUCCGCAAUGGACGAAAGUCUGACGGAGCAACGCCGCGUGAGUGAAGAAGGUUUUCGGAUCGUAAAACUCUGUUUUCAGGGACGAAUGUGCGAUGUGUAAAUAAUGCAUUGUAAUGACGGUACCUGAGUAGAAAGCCACGGCUAACUACGUGCCAGCCGCCGCCGUAA
RNAcentral lists this ribosomal RNA (516 nucleotides) under uncultured bacterium. RNAcentral describes it as "partial 16S ribosomal RNA". It matches the Rfam family "Bacterial small subunit ribosomal RNA", at positions 28 to 523 of the family's 1533-position model. The record is from RNAcentral.